UUUGACCUAAAUAUAUAUAUGUCUCCACCUGAGUUCUCCACUUUCACUUUAUUCUUUUCCUUUUCCAACACUAUGCUUUCUAGCUGCUGUUGUUAGAACCCUAAGCUCCACCGCUUUCUCCUUUGAGUUAUUUGCUAGCCACCUGAUGAGUAUUUGCCAUUUCUCUUCACACAAUGUCUCACUUGACCAAGGUAACAAUUUAUUUUUCCUCUUUUUCUAUGCGUUAUUCCUUGUCACUUCCAUUUCACUAUUUCCCAAUGAUUCUUCAAGAGGAGGAUGCUGUUUGAUGAAAGGAGGUAGUCAUGUGGAUUUCACAGUUCUCCCUAAGGUUGUUUUCCUUUCCUACUUCCUUCUGCAUUUCUCUCUUUUCAGUGCUGACCUCUUUUCUUGUUUUCUAAAUUUGUGUCGAAGUAGUUUCUUUCCAAAUCGAGGCAUGUAGUUGACCUCCAAAACUGAAAACCAUAUUUGAUGUCGCUCUUUUUUGUUUCUGGUGAUAAUUUUAGUGUGCUAAUGAUUAGCCUAUCUGAUUUAGCAACUUUCUUUAUCCUUAUCUUAGGAACAAAAAUGAUGUAAAUAUUUUAGCUGCUUAGAAUCGCGCUCUUCUCUGCUUUAUCUGUCAUGUUUGUUGUUGUUGUAUGAAUGAAUCAAUCCUUCUAGUUCUAAUUCUGAUGAUUGGAAUCUGUGUUUAAAAUAUUUUUGCCUUCCACUGGUAGUUGCUGAAAAUUGCUAAAUAUCUGUAUGUUGAUGUUGUCAGUAGCUAGGUUAGCUAUGUCGUUAGCCAUUUUGUUUUCUUCACUGAAUGUACGUUGUAUUUGUGCAUCCAAACUUUGCAGUGCAGCUUAAUAUCCUCCACCCCUUCAGCUAUUUCCCAUGUAUUUUCCAUUCAUUAUUAACCACAUUGACCAUAAGCAAUGAAUCUAAUUUUAGGAUCACUCUAUAUAAAUUAUUCUCCUCACAGAACUUACAUGCUUCCUAAUUGCUCUCAUUUUAGCAGCUUCAACAUUGGUAGUGAUACGUAUGUUUUGAGCUUGGGAAUGAACUAAAUCGCCUUUAUGAUCUCUAAAGCACCAUAAGUGUUACACUUCACCACUUAUUUUUUAGGCAAUUCCCACCUAAUUUUAUGAUGGUAAAAUUUUGAUUUGUAUGUGCUCAUAUUGCUGAUAAUGUCAUUCCACUCUUUUUCUGGAUUUUUAAUCUAUAGAAACCUUAUCUUUAUCCCCUUCAGUAUAUUAUGCUGCACCUGUGCUAUCAUGUCAUAUAGGCUUGAAUCUCCUCCAUGCUUCCUUUUAUUCCUUCUCUUCCAUGCUUCUUUUUAUUCCUUCUCUUUUACAGUACUCAUAAGAUCAGUAUUAGUAUCAUCCUAUAUAUUAUUUGUAACUUGUUUGCAUCUUGGAUAUACCACCAUGUCAUCAUGAUAUGGGAUAAAAUCUGUCCCUACGCCUUGAUACCUGCAAAAUUAGAAAAAUAAUUCCAUAGCUGUAAAGCUAUGUGAGCUCCUAGGAAAAGAUGUUUUAUAAUGUUUGUAUGAAAUUGUUCAUAACACCAAUAUUUUGAGACUAUUGAUUCUUAUUCUCUGUGGAUUAUCAUCAGUGGCACCAUAUGUUAUGCACCACUUCUUCUCUUAUUUGUAUCAUCUUCCUUUAUAUAUGUGAGACUCAUGAUCCUUGGGAAAUUAUAGGAUUCUUUCUUUUUGAAAUAUUUGUUCCACAUGAAAUAACUCCAAAAAGAUUCAGAUGAAUUUCUAAAGUUCCAAGUUUAGCAAAUAAAGCAUCAACUACAAUAUGAAGUGAUCUAAAACCCUCUGUCUUCCUCCUUAGGUAGACACAAAGCAUCCCAUGCUACCCAAUCUUUUCCUUUGAGACCACCAGUUUUUCUCCAAAAGAAUUUUGCCAUAUUUUAUGGAUCUAAUUAAUUACCUCUUUGGGUGGAUCAUGGCAGACAUCAAAUAUAUAGGAAUUAAUUGGAGAACAUUAUUUAUCAAUACAUAUCUACCUCCAUAUGUCAGAAAUCUACUAUGCCAAGACAUCACCCUUCUGCUAAUCUUCUUAAUCAGCUCUUUAAAAUGACUUAUCUACUUUCUCCUAUAGAAUAUAGGACAACCCAGGUAUGUAAAAGGGAAGCUCCCUAUAUCAAUACCUGUAAUCUUUCUAAUUCUAUUUUUAAUGGAGAAAGACACGUUAUCAUGUAGGUAUAGAAAUUUUUUAUUCAAAUUAAUCAGUUGCCCAUAAGUUUUCUCAUACUUAUUUAUACAUUCAUCAUCAUCUUGAUGAAAAUUGUAAUUAUUCAAUUUAUUUAAGCUUUUAGAUAGAACAUCAGCAACAAUUAAAAAAAGAGUUGGUGAUAAUGAGUCUCCUUUCUUUAGGCCUCUAGAUGAGGAGAAAAAACCAAAAGAUCUUCCAUUCAUUAACACUGAGUAUCAAUUAUUACUGAUCAACCUCCAUACCAUAUCUAUCGGUCUUUUUGAAAAUUCAAACCUUCUCAUCACCUUUAGUCAAGAAAAUCCAGGAUACCCUGUCAUAAGUCUUGGUCAUAUCCAGUUUAACCACUAUGUUGUGCAGUUUAUUCCUUUUAGUUAUGUCCCGAAUGAUCUCUUGGGAAAAUAAUACAUUUUUAGUAAUAUUUCUUCCCUUCACAAAGCCAGUUUGAUUCCUUAAGAUGAUUGUUGGUAUUAUUCCUUCUAUCCUGUUAUGUACGACCUUUGAUAUAAUUUUAUUUGAGAAAGUGCUAAGAUUGAUGGGUCUUAAAUCUGAAAACUUUGUCACCUUUUUUUUAGGAACGAGAACAAGAUUAGUAUAUGUAAUAUAUCUAGGCAGCUCAUAUCGACAAAAGAAUGCUAUCACCAUUUUCACUACAUCUUCUUCAAUGAUCUCCCAACAACUUUGAAAGAAACCUCCUGAAAAAUCAUUCGGGUCACAUGCACUUCACAGUUCAAAGAGAAUACUGCUUCCUUUACUUCUUUUAAAGUAGGGGUUCAAUCUAUUUUCUUUCCUUGUUCCUCAGUAAUAAUUUUUGGGAUAAAAUCCAGCAUGGAUAAAUCUUCAUUGAAAGUACUUUCUUUAAACUGAUGCUCAAAAACUUUAACAAUCUCCUCCCCCAUAUUGUUAGUAUCCUACAGAAUCAUGCCUUAAUCAUUUUCAAUUUCAGUUAAGGCCAAUAUUUUUUUCCUCUAACAUAAGAAUAAAAAAAUUAUAUUUCUGUCACCAUCUUUGAACCAUUUUAUCUCAGCUUUCUACUUCUAGUAUCCCUCUUCAAUAUGAUAAGUAUAUUCUCAAAUCCUCCUCAUCCUUUAUAAGUCUUCCUUUUUUUGCUUUAUGCUAUUUAUUUUCAAUUGAAUUUCUUUUAUUCUAAUUAUAUUCUCUAGGGUAGCCACCUUUUAAAAGAUAUUGCCAUAGGUCUCCUUACUCCAAUUUGCAUUGAUCCUUUUCAAAAUUUUCAUAUUUUCUUGAACAACAUAAAAAUGAUUACCUUGAAUUUGCUUACACCAGUUUUCUUCCACAAUUUGCUAGAACUUGACAUUCUUUGUCCAUAAAUUAAGAAAUUUGAAUGAUCUGUUAGUUCUUUCGUGUCUAGAGUUACAAAAAACUUAUAGUGGGGCAUGGUCAGAUCCA
Molecule: long non-coding RNA, 3608 nt
Filed under: Capsicum annuum
Lineage: Eukaryota; Viridiplantae; Streptophyta; Magnoliopsida; Solanales; Solanaceae
Description: long non-coding RNA (CANN_LNC010973)
Source: RNAcentral